This 850-nucleotide ribosomal RNA is filed under the name Clostridioides difficile. RNAcentral's name for it is "partial 23S ribosomal RNA". It matches the Rfam family "Bacterial large subunit ribosomal RNA", at positions 1918 to 2766 of the family's 2925-position model. The record is from RNAcentral. Lineage: Bacteria; Bacillati; Bacillota; Clostridia; Peptostreptococcales; Peptostreptococcaceae.
CCCCAGUAAACGGCGGCCGUAACUAUAACGGUCCUAAGGUAGCGAAAUUCCUUGUCGGGUAAGUUCCGACCCGCACGAAAGGCGUAACGAUUUGGGCACUGUCUCAACAACAGACUCGGUGAAAUUGUAAUUCCGGUGAAGAUGCCGGAUACCUGCGACAGGACGGAAAGACCCCAUGGAGCUUUACUGUAGCUUGACAUUGGGUCUUGGUACUACAUGUACAGGAUAGGUGGGAGGCUUUGAAACCAGGACGCCAGUUUUGGCGGAGCCAUCCUUGGGAUACCACCCUUGUAGUACUGGGACUCUAACCAUAGGCCAUGAAUCUGGUCUUGGGACACUGUCAGGUGGGCAGUUUGACUGGGGCGGUCGCCUCCCAAAAGGUAACGGAGGCGCUCAAAGGUUCUCUCAGUACGGUCGGAAAUCGUACGUAGAGUGUAAAGGCAAAAGAGAGCUUGAUUGCAAGACAUACAGGUCGAGCAAGGAUGAAAAUCGGACUUAGUGAUCCGGUGGUUCUGCGUGGAAGGGCCAUCGCUCAACGGAUAAAAGCUACCCUGGGGAUAACAGGCUUAUCUCCCCCAAGAGUCCACAUCGACGGGGAGGUUUGGCACCUCGAUGUCGGCUCAUCACAUCCUGGGGCUGUAGUAGGUCCCAAGGGUUGGGCUGUUCGCCCAUUAAAGUGGUACGCGAGCUGGGUUCAGAACGUCGUGAGACAGUUCGGUCCCUAUCCGUCGCAGGCGUAGGAAAUUUGAGAAGACCUGUCCUUAGUACGAGAGGACCGGGAUGGACGUACCUCUGGUGUACCAGUUGUCCUGCCAAGGGCAUGGCUGGGUAGCUAUGUACGGAAUGGAUA